CAGGAUCCGAAUUGGUAAAGACCAUGUCUUCAGGGGGUUUUAUUCCACCAAGAACCAUUGCGCCGCCACCGAAGUCCAUCCCUCCAUAACACAAAGAGAAGGAAUCACUAAUUACAUGUUUCUCAACAAGCUGAUCCACGCACCGCCACCAAAGUCCAUCCCUCCGUAACACAAAGAGAAGGAAUCACUAAUUACAUGUUUCUCAACAAGCUGAUCCACUAUACCGAGAUCCCCGCGACCCAAGCCCAUUAUACCAUCAGCGUGUUGGCUGUAAAGAUCACCAGUUUCCCUAUUUUCACAUCCAAAAACAGCUCUCUGGGGUGCAAGCUCACUUUGGUUUCCAAAGGACACAAUGUCCUCUCCAAGCACCCCGCUACUAGAACUCAUCUCAGCAUACUGUCUUUCGUAAAUGCAUUGCUCCCUCUCAUUGUCACAUGUACAGUCAAUAUUACAUUUUACAGGUUGAUAUGUGCUUGAGCUGGGGUGCAAGCUCACUAAGGUUUCCAAAGGACACGAUGUCCUCUCCGAGCACCCCGCUACUAGAACUCAUCUCAGCAUACUGUCUUUCAUAAAUGCAUUGCUCCCUCUCGUCGUCACAUGUACAGUCAAUAUUACAUUUUACAGGUUGAUAUGUGCUUGACAUUUCUGGCUGAAAUCUAGGAUCCUAAAUAAGACAAUAUUCAGAGACUUGAGAAAAUGAUAGAAACCAAAAUGCAAUAGAAUUUAAGUGGUGAAUUUAAAAAGUUUUUUCAACUAUAUAUGCCACCAGUGUGUAAUCUUAUUGGCUACAAACUUAUCAAGAUAAGUAAUUGGUUUUAUUUAAUUAUUAUUACAGGUCAAAUAAGCAAUAUGCCUC
This 856-nucleotide long non-coding RNA is filed under the name Nicotiana benthamiana. RNAcentral's name for it is "long non-coding RNA (NBEN_LNC020855)". The record is from RNAcentral. Lineage: Eukaryota; Viridiplantae; Streptophyta; Magnoliopsida; Solanales; Solanaceae.